UCCCUCCCCACACUCCAUAACUCUCUCUCUCUCCAUAUUUAUCUCUAACAUACCCCACUCAUCCUCCAUGUUCCUGCAACUUUGCAAUGUUAAAAAAGGUCUGUAUCGUGCGGUGUUUUCAAACGUCCCAAAUGGAUUCCUGUUCUAGGAGGGAAAAAGAUAGAAGAAGAAAGGUCUCUCUGACUAGUAAGGAAUUCAAAUGAAAUGAUAGAAGACGAAAGGUCUCUCCCGUUGCAACCCAAAAGCUUCCUAGAAGGUAGACCACCAUAAGACACAGCACGACUAUAAACCUCCAAGAAGGGAGACCACUGAACGAUCCUCACUUACUUUCUCUCUCACAUUUUUCUGGCUCUCAACAGCCGAUCAUAUCUCCCUUGUGCACGGUGUUUCCAACCAUCAUCUGCAACCCAUAAGCCUCUAGAACUUCUUCUACCUCAAGGUAAGAUUCUUUUCUCUCUUUCUUUGCUUAGGGGGCUGAAGAGGAUUUUUGGCUGAAGAAGAACCUGUUCUGUUCUUCUGGUUCUAUAUCUACGAUCUUGUUGCAAGCUGAUCUUCUACUGUCCUACACUGGUUCGAGGUUAGCACUGCAUAAGUCUGCAUCCCAAAAAUGAUGAUUUUCUUGAUGGCAUUUGACUCCAUUACUUGCUAGCUCAAACCCAAGUAGUCAUACAGAUCAAGGUUUCCAUGUACACCUGGCAUAGAAGGUUGGAGACCAAUUGUAGAAACUGUUCAUGCAAAUGGUGGGAUCAUGUUUUGCCAGACCUUUCACGUCGGGAGGGUGCAAGAGAGUUGGAUGCUACGAUGCUUCUAGCGAUUGAAACUUUUACUCUAAAAGUUUAUCAAGUCUGUGCUACGCCGUGUGUAUUCUUGUCCAAAAAUUCACAGUAUUAUUAAAUUGGAUGGUGAUGAAUAAGAAGAUUUACAAAAUUAAUAGGUUAAGUUUAUAGCAUGAUGAAAUUUUUUAAUAAAAAAAAAAUAGAGGUAAAUCUGUCUUAUUUUAAAAUCUUUCUCUCAAGUCUCAAAUGAGUAUAUUUACCAAAAAGAGAAAACCUCAACUAAUAAGAAAAUUUAUUGGAAAAAAAAAUCUCCAAUACUGUCUGAUCCAAGGUAAUCCGGAUCCAUAUCGGCCAUUGGAGGAUGAAAAUCUUAUCAUACCUAAUGUGUAUUAGAUUCCAAAGAGUCUACAUCCUCUAUAACGAAUGGUAAAAUGCAAUGAGUAUCAGACAGCUGAGAGUAUCUGAACAGCCACACAUGUUUAUUAGAUGAAAAUAUUUUUAAUUGAGGAAUUCUGGGUAGAGACCUACGUACUUUUGGAUAGACAGCUUGCAUUUUGGAUAUUACCCAUGUGUUUAUGACAUGGGAAUAUUUUGGAUUGGAGGAUAGUGGGCAGGUUAGCCACGUCAGGACAACGAGGGAGGAGGAGGACCCAUAGAUCCAAUCAUAUACUGUCUCUCCACAAACUGUGGGUUCUAUCUAUAAAUAAAUAUGGGACCUUGACCUUCCACAAGUAAUGCAUUUUUUGUUGCCAUUCUUAGUUUGACAAGACCAGAUCAAGUUUAUGUAGAAGAAUAAUUGUAUAUGUUUCUAGUCUAUACAUUUGGAAUCUACUUUCUUUCUUUUUAU
Molecule: long non-coding RNA, 1623 nt
Organism: Macadamia integrifolia
Lineage: Eukaryota; Viridiplantae; Streptophyta; Magnoliopsida; Proteales; Proteaceae
Exons: 3
Source: RefSeq, a predicted model, not a curated record